CUAAGCCUUCUGUUCUUUCCCUGGUAUCCAGGAUCCCAGGCCGCCAUGGAGGAGUACGCCCGGGAGCCCUGCCCGUGGCGAAUCGUCGAUGACUGCGGUGGAGCCUUCACCAUGGGGGUCAUCGGUGGCGGAGUCUUCCAGGUCAUCAAGGGCUUCCGAAAUGCCCCUGUUGGAAUUCGGCACCGAUUGAGGGGUAGUGUCAAUGCUGUGAGGAUCCGAGCCCCCCAGAUUGGAGGCAGCUUCGCGAUGUGGGGCGGUCUGUUCUCCACCACUGACUGCGGCCUGGUGUGGCUGCGGGGCAAGGAAGACCCCUGGAACUCCAUCACCAGCGGAGCGCUGACCGGGGCUGUGCUGGCUGCCCGCAGUGGCCCACUGGCCAUGGUGGGCUCAGCAAUGAUGGGGGGCAUCCUGUUGGCC
Molecule: RNA transcript, 417 nt
Organism: Hipposideros armiger (great roundleaf bat)
Lineage: Eukaryota; Metazoa; Chordata; Mammalia; Chiroptera; Hipposideridae
Gene name: mitochondrial import inner membrane translocase subunit Tim17-B pseudogene
Exons: 1
Source: RefSeq, a predicted model, not a curated record